Pseudogymnoascus verrucosus is the source of this 75-nucleotide non-coding RNA. Lineage: Eukaryota; Fungi; Ascomycota; Leotiomycetes; Thelebolales; Thelebolaceae. The record is from the annotation of a RefSeq genome assembly.
GGUCGCUUAGCUCAGUUGGUUAGAGCGUGGUGCUAAUAACGCCAAGGUCGCGAGUUCGACCCUCGUAGUGACCAA